This is a long non-coding RNA of Homo sapiens (human), 2490 nucleotides long. Lineage: Eukaryota; Metazoa; Chordata; Mammalia; Primates; Hominidae. The record is from Ensembl.
AGCCAUUUCCAAGGUUUUGCACCAGGAGUAGCUGUCCGGGUCUCUGGCUAGCUCCUGUCCCAACUUCUUUUUCUUCCCUCGACGGUCGGGAGGGAUCACUGGGUGCUACACCGCUGGGGCGUCCCAGGCAGGAGAGACUUCGCUCUCAGAAGCGCCCCCGUGUCAUCCACAACUCCCACGAAAGGAGCUUCCCAAGAGGAGUUUGUUUUACCCGGAAUGGGCUGCAGGAAUUAAUUGCUUACAGAGAGUAAACUUUUGCCCGUUGUUUUUUUGUUUUUUGUGCUUUUUUUAACCAAAGCUUGCAUUUGUGCUCCGCGUAGUUUCUAUUGCAACAGAGCGCUACUCUGCCUUUUCAACUGUGAGACAGAGGAUUGCUGAGGAUUUCUGCCCUCUGGGGCUUCGCGAAUAUCUAUGGCUUCGGACCUGCUAGCGGAAAACGCAAAGUUGCCCAGCUUGGAGAUGGCACCAGGUUCCUUUGCUCUGGCGCUGGAUGCUCCGCUCCGCCACCCACCGCCGCCGUCUCCAUCGAGAAUCUCCUCAAAAUCAAGGGAGUUCUUGACUGUCCCUCUCCAAAUUGGAAGGCGGUUGACUUUGCCGGGAACCGAGUUCCUGAGCGGCAAACGUGGAGUCGCAGAGCGCAGAAGUGAAGAUUUAAUACAAAAGAUGAAACUUGUAGGAUGACCUCUAGCAGCGCUACUCACAGCUCUGAAAUCGAUCCAGAGCAUUCCACAGUGAGCGUUGCGGCUCCCAGGGGCUCCGGACCGGUAACUUCAGGCGCAAGUCUGAAUUUCAGGGAUGAACCUGCUUUGGAUUCUGUUUGAGCCGACUCAGUGCAGAGGCAGUGACAGGGGCUGUGGGUUUAGGGGUGAUGGAUCCAUGAAGGCUGCCACUUGGAGCGAGCAGACAGUUGGCGAUACCCUCCCACUAACUUGCUCCGCUGCUCCGGGCUGUUCACAGACAGACCCACGCGUAAGGAUUUAGAGUGUGUAUGUCCAACGCCCAGACUUAACUUCUGGUGCAAUUAAGGGAAGAGCUUGAAGCUAACCCGCGCAGCUUGCCUGAAGAAGUGAAUAAUGAAAUCGGUGAUGAGGUGCUAAGGAAUAAAAAGAGGCAUUUUGUUUGCGUGUGUAUUAGUUUGCCAGGAUUGAGUUUUUAGGUUUGAUGUCCUAAAAUGUAUCUUCGACAGUGACUCUUUUGCAGCCUUUCAAGAGGAGGAUGUUCGGCAGUAUUUUGGAACCUGGUAUGAAUCUAUACAUUGUCUGCGUGCCGCAAUAUUUGAUGCCUCUUCGAGUUCUAAUUCUUAUUCCUAAUUAAUAAAUGACUGUUCCUGAUAAUGAAGUGGGAAUAAGAAUUAUAAUAAACUAUUUCCAACAAAAGGCCAUCUUUAACUUAUGAUUUCUGAUUGUAUAAGCCUAUCAAUUACCAAUAAAAUAUUCUGCAGACUAUUAGGCAUGAAUUGCAGAGCUGUAAUGAAGAGACUCACUUGGUUCAAGAAAAUUCAGAAUUUAGAGCGACUCCUCUCCAAAAAGGUUGUGACUUCAAAUUCCUUUCUUGGUUGCUGUUGGUAUGCAGGCCACUGUCUGCAACUGAAGUUUCUGUUUAAAGUAAACAUAGGUUAUUUACAUAUUCAUUAACUUUAAUACGUGAAGGGUGCCUUACAGUGGUAGGAAAUGUUGUGGAAAGUCUUGUACCAGCCAUGGCGAAGUCUUUUUACUUGCUUUGAGUUUUUGAUGUAUGCGAUGUGUAUGCAGUAGUGGUAAUCCAUAGCAUAAUAUUCUUGACAUUUAAGCACCCUCAAAAAAAAUAAUAAAAACCUGUAGAUUUAUGGAUCCUGUUCAAAAAAUGGAAGAGGAUAAGGAUCACCCUUUUCCCCCUCGCCUUUUACAUUUUGCUUUUAUGGGGGAAAUUAUUUAACAAACAAGGAGAGCAAACCUCAGGAUCAGAGGAUGUACCCCAUUCCCGCUACCCUUAGGUCUAUCUAUGGAAUUGAAAAGAAACUAUUGAGACUCAAAGAUACUGUCAGAUCCAAGAAUCUGAUUUCACCACCAAAUUAAAAUAACUACAGCAUUAUUCCAGUGUUGUCUAUGUAUUUAUGUUUUCUGAUAAUUGAAUUUGAAAUAUAUGAUAUCUCUUCCAAUGGAAACAUCUUGAUCCUUUUCCCUCCUUAAGAUCAUUUCUCUACAAACUGCCAUUUUCAGAACACCUUUUACUUCUCUAGAGCAUAGCAUUCAGUCUAUUGGUGUACUGUCUUUUCAUAGAUAAAAGCUAUUCUUUCUUUACUGGUAUGCCUUUGCUACUGUACUGUGAGCUCUGAGAGCACGGAUCUUGUCAUUUACAUUGUUGUUCCCCAGAAUCUAUACAGAAUCUAGUACACAAUAAAAUAGAUGUAUAUGAUGAUGAUGAUGAUGAUGAAAGCGACCAUGUAUUGAGUAAUGACUUAAUGACUAUGUAAUGUGAUUUAUGUACAUUAUAUCAGUUGAUCCUGUUUAC